RNAcentral lists this ribosomal RNA (404 nucleotides) under Actinomycetes bacterium. RNAcentral's name for it is "Actinobacteria bacterium partial 16S ribosomal RNA". It matches the Rfam family "Bacterial small subunit ribosomal RNA", at positions 355 to 776 of the family's 1533-position model. Lineage: Bacteria; Bacillati; Actinomycetota; Actinomycetes. The record is from RNAcentral. RNAcentral also lists the same sequence under 1 other name.
UGGGGAAUAUUGGACAAUGGGCGCAAGCCUGAUCCAGCCAUGCCGCGUGAGUGAUGAAGGCCCUAGGGUUGUAAAGCUCUUUCACCGGUGAAGAUAAUGACGGUAACCGGAGAAGAAGCCCCGGCUAACUUCGUGCCAGCAGCCGCGGUAAUACGAAGGGGGCUAGCGUUGUUCGGAUUUACUGGGCGUAAAGCGCACGUAGGCGGACUUUUAAGUUAGGGGUGAAAUCCCGGGGCUCAACCCCGGAACUGCCUUUGAUACUGGAAGUCUUGAGUAUGGUAGAGGUGAGUGGAAUUCCGAGUGUAGAGGUGAAAUUCGUAGAUAUUCGGAGGAACACCAGUGGCGAAGGCGGCUCACUGGACCAUUACUGACGCUGAGGUGCGAAAGCGUGGGGAGCAAACAGG